Molecule: ribosomal RNA, 351 nt
Filed under: uncultured bacterium
Lineage: Bacteria
Description: partial 16S ribosomal RNA
Rfam family: Bacterial small subunit ribosomal RNA
Source: RNAcentral
CCUACGGGUGGCAGCAGUAGGGAAUUUUGCGCAAUGGGCGAAAGCCUGACGCAGCAACGCCGCGUGAUCGAGACGCCCUUCGGGGUGUAAAGAUCUGUCAGUGGGGACGAAACUUUACGGUACCCACAGAGGAAGCACCGGCUAACUCCGUGCCAGCAGCCGCGGUAAUACGGGGGGUGCAAGCGUUGUCCGGAACCAUUGGGCGUAAAGAGUUCGUAGGCGGCACGUAAAGCCCGGUGGUAAAGGCAGAGGCUCAACUUCUGUACGGCACUGGAUACUUUCGAGCUAGAAUGCGGUAAUGGUAAAGGGAAUGCGUGGUGUAGCGGUGAAAUGCAUAGAUAUCAGGAGGAA